UUUCCUGUUCCUUCCUAUUGCCCUAGCAGAAAUUUGGGUUCACCUAGAAGCAGACCUUGAGAUAAGGGUUUAAGUGCAAAUGGUGUAUUAGGGAGUUCAUGCCAGGGAACACCAGUAGGAGAGGGAGUUGAUAGUGGGAAGGGAAGGAAAGUCAACACAAGGUAUGUCAUGGAGCAGGUUACUACUUAGGCAAGGGCUGCUCAGUCCUGCGGGAGGUCUCUAGGAAACAGUGGAAAGACACACCUCAGAUUUGUGCCACCUGAGGGCGAAGAACCUGGGGCGUUUAUAUACUGGCUCCCUCAGUCACUGUUGGAGGGCUGCUUCUGGGGAGCGGGUGGGUAAUAAUAUCCUAGCGCUCUACCUUCUACUUGGGGAGGGGCUAUCGAAAUCCAAGAAAGCUCUUGGAUGGUAAAUGCUGGCAGUUGGAAGCCAAGACAAAUGUAAGUGGCUGAAACGUAAACGGCUGUGGGCAGGACACCAGCACAUCUGCUACACUUGGAUUCUCAGAAUGUGUGUGAGGAGGUGGCUUCUCCAUUGCUCCUGAGUGUCACUGCAACAACUCUUCUUUAUCGGUGCUCUUUGACUAUAAGGAAGCUGGCUGCCAUGUUGUAAACUGACCUACGGAGAGGCCCAUGUAACGAGGAACUGAAAUCUCCAGCCAACAACCAGCAAGUACCUGAGGUCUGCUAACCACCACGUGAGUAAUCCUCCCCCCGUGGAGCCUGGAAACAACUGCAGCCCCUCCGAUAUCUUGACUGUAGUCGGUGAGAGACCCCAAGUCUGAGGCACCCAGCUAAGAUGCUCCUGGAUUCCUGAACCACAGAAACUGUAAGAUAACUUUUAUUUUCCAAUUGGAGUACAGUUGAUUUACAAUAUUGUGUUAGUUUCAGGUGUACCGCAAAGUGAUUCAGUUAUACAUAUGUAUUUUUUUCAGAUUCUUUUCCCUUACAGGUUAUUACAAAAUAUUGAGUGUAGUUCCCUGUGCUAUGGAGUAGGUCCUUAUUGGUUAUUUUAUAUAUAGUAGUGAAAUGUUUGUGUUGUUUUCAGCUGCUAAGUUUGGGGGUAAUUUUUUAUGCAGCAAUAUUAAAAAUGCAGGGUUGUCCUUUACAGACCCCCACUCAGAAAUGUGUGUCUUCUAUGACCUUGAGCAAAUCGCUGCUACUGUUUGGGCUUCAGUCUCCUCAUCUGGGAGGCUUUGGGCUUAGAGUCUAGUGUCUCAAGUCUUCUGUCCGUGAAGAUGUAGCCUGUGAGGUUACAACAAGGCCCAUCUCUUCUACUGUUUAGUGUAUGAAGCCCGGUUAAACCCGCACAUCUUUGUAUGUUAAGCUCCACGUCUUUAAAUUUGCCUCACGUUUUUCACUCCUAUUAUCUGAAGUCUGUUUCUAAUUUCUGACAGAAUUGCAGCGGCCCAUUGUGUGCCUCGCUCUGCAUGACAUGCCAAUUUCAUUUUGGAGUCACAGCUAUUGUCUUUUUCCCCACUAAUCUCGUUUUGCAAAAUUCCAAUAGAACCUGUGAACAGAGAGAGUUGCCCUUGUGCUUGAUCUGGGCGCUGUGUGGCCCCCAAACAGGGGUGGAUGAUAGACAGCCUGUCUGCCACCCGAGGCAUCUUUUCUUGCUUAAAAAUUUGUUCUCCAGAUUGCAGACUCCCUUCCAACGCUAGCAAAGACUGGAACAUAUUAAAUAAGAGCAGAGCUGAAAUUGGAUGGAAUGUCUCAGCCACUUAGAUUCAGACCUCUCUUUAGGGGGAGCACGUGGGGAAGAGGCCGGGAAGUGCCCACGUGGAUAAUGUGGAGGAAGACAGCUUCCAUCCCUUUCUUAUACCAUUCAAGCCUUAAACAGGGGUAACAUUUUUUCUUAAGCAGGGCCUAUAACCCAGGAUCCAUCACUUAUAUAUGGUGUCCAUGGCAACCAGGCAAUGGUAUGGGAUCCCUUCUCACUGGGGAAUUCCUUUUAUGGCUCAUUUCCGAAACCAGCAUGGCCAGUACAGGAGCCUGCAGUUUCCCAGUUGCUUAGCAACCAGCUCCUAUGCUCUAGUCACUAGGAAAAGCAGACAGUUAAAAAAAAAAAAGUGUAGUCAGAAUCAUAUGUUACAUUCUUUCUACUUUGUCUCUUUAGAAUAAAAUAGUGUGCGAUAAGGAUGCGGGAAAGGGCAACCGCUCCCUGUUAAUGCCUUCACUGCUCCUGGCGGGCUUGCAGGCAGAAAGAGGGAGGAAAAUGUUAGCACGCUUUCGGCUGGAAAUUAAGCAGCGCGAGCCAUCUGCACGUUGAAAGCUCUACAUUUUUCACGUCUUGUGGGGGCAUCAAGCAAAGGACAGCCCCCAACACCAAAGAAGUAUCCUGCCCACAGUGCCAGUAUGCCGAGCUUGAGAAACCCUGCGUUAGACAGUCAGAAGAACCAUCUGUCUUGUUAAAGACAAGCACUACAGCCAUUUGGAAAACACCCUGGCCUCAAACAGAAGCCUGUCUAGUUUGGACCACUUCAAAUGCCUUGUCACCUCCAUUCUUUCUUUCUUAUAAUGCAUCAACCGGAGCUAUACGUUCCCUAUAAAGGGGAUAAUUAAAUGAUACACUUAGAGGUUGCUUGCUCAUCCCUCCCAAGCAGAAUGAUGGAAUCUCACCUGGAAGCAGUGACAACCAGGAAAGGCGGAAGAAGGAUGUUUACCAGACACACAUGAACUCAGCUCCCCCAGCAGGUAGCACACAGGUACCUCAUUUCUGAACAGGUAGCAGAAGCCAGAUCCACAGUCACCCCAGGGCUGUGACUGGCUGGAGACGGGAUAUCUCGAGGUUUACCAGGAGGACCGGAAGCACUCCAAGUAUGUGGACAUCAGAGCAGUGGCUAAGAAAGAGUCCAGGCGGGCUGGGACAUCAGGCAGCUGAGGGCAAGGCAGGCAGCACGUCUGGGCUCCAGGAUGACAGAUAGGCGAUUUAAAACAGGGCACCCUCAGAGCCCUGAAACAAGGCAAGGCUUUAUCAGGAAGGGGAUCUGAGCCUCAGGAGUGAGAGUAGUACAACUGAGCCUGGCUGAAGACAGAUCCUUAUGACAAUAAAGCAGAAGGGAUAACAGAGAGGGAGGGAGAGGGUUGAUGCCUCCUCCGGGGCAAAUAAUUUUCUCUGUAUCCCUGUAACACUAGUACAGGUUCCUAGAAGAUCAGUCAGUUGGUCAAUUAGCAGGUAAUGUUGAAUAUGUACUCUGUGGGUAUCAUUCCUUGCAUAAAGCUCCCGCAGAACCCUAACCUCAUGAGGUGCUCCAAGAAAAACAUUCUGUGAUCACUAUGAUUUUUGCAAACUGCAAGUCCCUCUUGGAAAUUCAUAGUGUACAUUAGCAUUUUAGAAGCUCAAACUCCUGUGAUAUAGAAACCUGUUUUUAAUCCAGUAACAGUUGACAACAGGAUCCUUUUAUUACGUGAAAACUAUGAACAUCCUGUGGACACACCUUGAGAGAUAUUGUUCUAAAGCAUUCCUAAUCUGGUGUUCCCAGGCCCUUCGCAACCUGGGCCUGCCCUUGUUUCCCGACUUUACCUUCCUUUAUUUUCCUACAUUCCAGGCACACUGAAUUCUUCCCUUGUACAUGCCCCUAGUUCACAUUUCCUUCUUUUCUCUACAGCAGGUGAUUCAUCAUCUGCCCAAAAAAGGGAAAAAACGCUGAGCCUUCCUCACUUCAGCCCCCGCCCAUUGCUACCUAUCCUGUAAGGCUCACCUCAAAGGGGGGACACUUGAGCCAUCUCUGCCCCAGCCUCCCUGUUACUAUAAACAAUGCAUUUUCUCCUCUGAUCCCUUGUGUCACACUAUCUAUUGCUUUUAGAGCACUUAGUACCUUUUAAUUUGUGUAUGGCCAUCUAUGCCUUUCUUAUUAGGAGACAAUCCAUGUCUGGUUCAUUUUGAUACUCCUAGCCCAGAACACAGCUUACUCGUAGGACUGUCCAAGGGAGCAGGAAGUAAGAAGCUAUGACCUCCAAGGCGGAAGUAAGUUUCCCAACACUCAGGCCAGAGAUGGCAGCUCUCUGGCUCACAGGCUGUGAACUCACACUCACCUGUGGUGAACAGACUCAUCUAGCACCACGCAAUGCCCCUGGGGCCCAGAUGCCGCGCCCCCUCCAAAGCUUCUCAACACGGUGCUCGCAGUAGUCAUGAUCAACGGGUUAGAGUUGGCAUGACAGAGGAAAUCUAGUUGUCAUCCUUGAUUUGGACUUUUCCACGAAGUGAAAGUUAGGAGAAUUUAGCAAGCUGAAUAUUGGAGCUCUUAAUACUUCAGAUCAAGGACUGUCCAUAACAGAAAAGAGCAAUUAGCAAAACUGUUCAUUAUACUUUCAUGUUCAAGUCUAGUCUCAAGGCUAAUUAUCUGUAUAAUUAACAUGUUACCAAAUGCAAAUAAUUGAUGAGCCUGAUCUCUUGGAAUGGAACACAAGUCUUGUGAAAUGUAAAUAGCUGUGAAUUACUAACAGCUUUCCUUUACAUGGCCUGUCUAAAUAGGGCAGUGCCUGUAAAAUUAAACAAUUUAAGUAUAAUCCCAGGUAUGCUAAAAGACUGACAAAACAAUGUGAUGUGUGGUUCAAUGCACAGAAAAUGCACAGGUUUUUAAAUUCUCACUCUACUACUUUCUAGCUGUGUGACCUUGGGCAAGUUAAUCUCAGUUUACUCAUUUAUAAAUCUAUAAAUUUAUAAUUUAUAUUAAAUUAUAAUUUACAAAUUAUAAAUUGUUAUUUAUACAUCUGUUUCCGCAUUUAUAAAAUGGGUGUAACAGCAGCCCCUGGUUCACAGGAUUGUUGAGAAUUAAAUGAGGGUUGACUCACUUGGAAAGAGUACACAAUAAAUGUGAACCAUUGUUUUCAUUAUUACAUUUUGUAUUGCUUAGAUUUUGUUCAGAAAUAAACAUUAGACGGAAAGGGAACGUAUACAGAUGUCCCUGCUAUAACACUACCUAUGUGUUCCUGAAAAGCUCCAUGGUCUACAAAAUAGCCCACUGAAAAAAACUGGGCUGCUGGGAAA
Globicephala melas (long-finned pilot whale) is the source of this 4989-nucleotide long non-coding RNA. RefSeq lists it as uncharacterized. The record is from RefSeq and is a predicted model, not a curated record. Lineage: Eukaryota; Metazoa; Chordata; Mammalia; Artiodactyla; Delphinidae.